Long non-coding RNA from Danio aesculapii, 670 nucleotides. RefSeq lists it as uncharacterized. The record is from RefSeq and is a predicted model, not a curated record. The transcript is spliced from 4 exons. Lineage: Eukaryota; Metazoa; Chordata; Actinopteri; Cypriniformes; Danionidae.
GGUGGAUACAGCGUGAGCGCGCAUUUUCGAAUGGCUGCUGAUCACUAUUCCAGAAAGAUCAAAGCAAGGCCAACCAGGAUGAAAUAAAAAUGUGUAUCAAGAAUUCAACCUAUGGGUCUCUUGAUCAUCACUGUACACACCUGAUUCAGAUCUUCAGGUCAAAGAGAGGUCUCACUGUGUUGCCAUUGAGUGCUUCCAGUACUUCUUGGUGAUGACCCUUCAGAGCAUGAGUUCUUCAAAGCAUGUUUUCUUCAGAUUAUGGAGACUCAUGCCAACAUGUGCCCACUGGAUUCCUUAACCGAGAAAAUUAAGAUGUGGCUCUGCAACCCCUGUCCUUCCACCUCCACCCAUCCUCAGUGGGAAUCAUCUAGGAGGGGAAUGUUGAAAUGGACAAUAUACCCCAGGCCAUGUAACUUUUUGGAUUAACCUAUAUACUACACCUACCUAGUGCAUGGACAAUACCCUUCUUUUCAUUCAACAAGUUUGGGUAAGAAGACGCUGAAGGGUAAGAUUCUGGCUGUUAAAAAAAAUCAACUUGCCAUGUAAAAAGGUACAGAAAAGGCAUAUUCCUUCAGGCUUGCUGUCCUAACUGUGAGAUAAAUUUUUUUUAAACUAUGCCUUAGUGUUUGGCAAGUGUUAAUAUUCCAUAAUGUUACAAUUUAAUAACAUA